RNAcentral lists this long non-coding RNA (1906 nucleotides) under Podarcis lilfordi (Lilford's wall lizard). Lineage: Eukaryota; Metazoa; Chordata; Lepidosauria; Squamata; Lacertidae. The record is from RNAcentral.
GUCUCUCCAAUAUUUAAAGGGCAAAGUUUGAAAAUUUCAAAACUUUCAAAGUUAGGAGUAUGAAGAUGUGAGAUGAUGCCAAAAAAGGCAGAAAUGAAGGAAAGUAAAGAUAAGACAAUGGGAGAGGGAAAAAUCUGUAGGAAAACAAAAAGGCAUAAAGAGAAAACAAAGGAUGGGAGGAUUACAUUCCUAAUAGAACCUGAGGCUCCCUGUGUGUGCAAUCUCAUGAAAUAAAAAUUUAGAAAUAAUCUGGGCAGACUGCUGAUUUUAUUCCAGAGCUAGUCUGGGGUAGAACCCAGCUGUUUGGGGCCGGUACUGGGGUGGAGACCUGUGCAAAUGCUCUCUGUUCUUAAGCUAAGGUUUAUAGCUUAAAGAUGUAAAACAGAGAACUAAAAGAGCAGGCUAAAGGUUCAUCUAAUUCAGCAUCCUUUUUCUAAAAGCAGUUGGCCAGAUGCUUCUGGGAAACAAUAAGGAGGACCGAAAGGCAACACCUGUCAUGGCCAAUAAGGCCUUAUCCCAGAAGCAAGAUUCUGAACGACUCAUACUGGAAUGGUUAUAAACAUAUAUGCCAUUCAGCUGGCUUUGCAUUUUAUUCUUCUGUCUUCAUCCUCUUCCUCUAUGAAUACCAAAGCCUUAAAUGUAAGCCCUUGGAAUAUAAGCAUCGUAAAGCCUCAUUUUCUUCUAAUAUAUGUUCAAUAACAUUUUACAUUUCAUCAUAAAACCUUUUGCUUAAGCCUAUUUGCUGUAAGCAGGGAUGUUUGCAAAACCAUGUUGAUUUAAAGAAAGAGGGCAUGCAACACUGACUACGGUCCCAUCUUUUUAUGCUGCUUCUUGAUUAGCAGGGUGAUGUCAGUAAAGCAGCUCUGUAUAUAUAAAGUAGGACGCAUGAUCUAAUUUCUCCCCAUCACUAGUUAAAGGACCUGGAAACAAAUAAAAGCCAAUAGAUCAUGAUCAGAAACAUACAAGGUCACACCAUUUCAAUUUUGAUUAGAUAAUACAGAAUUAGCUACCAUCCUAGGUAUAAUAUACUUAGACAUGUUGAAGCAGCUGUGGCGUUGCUAGGCAGAGGUCUGUGCCUCUUGUGGGUCCUCUAGCUCUAGCUCUGAAACCUGAUUUACUUAUUUUUUUUAAAUCCCUGCUGUAAAUAACUGUUGACAGAUGACUCCAGCCUUUAGUUCUCUCUGGCGUUACAAUUGCAUGAACUGUGUGCGCGCGUGUAUGCGGAGAGAAUAAAAGCAUAAAUAAACUUUGGAAUUGUAGGAGAAUUGAUUGAAGGAAGUGGCUAAACAAUAUUAUUUGGAACUUAAGUUCCUGAUUAUGAGAAGAGGCUGGGACUUCCCAAAGGGAGAACAGCCUCACCCAAUCUCUCCUAAAACCCUGAGACAUAGGACUCUGAAGGAACUGAAGUUGCUGAAGGUUAAUGGACCCUCUUAAAGGCAAAGUAAACUGAAACACCUGCCUUGUGUGUUCAGAACAGCAAGUCAUGGCAGAAGACAGGAGCAGAUGGAAACGAUAUGGAGAAGCACUCCCUGUUCUGUCCUUCAUAUCCUCCAUCCCCACUCUUUGUAGAACCAGGACAUUCUUCUAUACUAGGCAAAACCAAAGUUAUAAAUCUCUUGCAAUAGCUCCUGGGAAUGCCUUCCCCCAUUUGUUUGACCAUGGCCAGUACUGAUACUUUAGAAAGCAAUUGUAGCUAGUUUGGUUCAAUGUCUAAGCAGCUGCACUUUGAUCCAAGAGACAUUGGUUUGAGUCUUGCCAGCUGUGGAGUCACUGGGCAAACUCAUAUACCUACAGCAAUAUAAUUGCUGCUGAAAAUUGCUUCAGCAGAGUUUAGUUCAUUAAAUUUCCUAGACAGUUUUUUUUUUAAAGAAUGACUAAAGGCAUUGUACAACAAAUUGAGAUAUAC